ACUGUUUUAACGAACGGGUAGUAGUCGUUUCGAAUACGUUUUAACAAACAACGUAGUUACUAAAAUAGAUCAGCUUUGAAGAAUAAAUGGCUUAGAUCAAGUUUUAACAAAAGAGGUGGAGAACGGACUCGAGCGUUAAACGUCUUCAUAUAGACAGAACGUAUACUGAAUUAGAGAAACAAGCUCUGCCCAGACUAACAACAGGGAAUAUGGGAUUUCUUGUAUUGACCAUCAGUUAACUCUAAGGAACAGAGAUUUUGAAAAAUUCCAUUUGGAGAUUAGCCAGUCCUAUCUGUCCUGAAGCUUUCUCCAUAGUGUUGCCACCUGUUGGAAGACGAUAACGGGAUUUAAGGAGAGAGAGUACAGUAUAAUCUGUCUUCUUUAUGCCUCCUGGAAAAUCAACUUUCUUCGAGUUAUUUGGAGAACGAUGACUGUCAUACUAGAAAGCAGCCCUUGAAGAAUGUGAGGAUCUCUUGGAUAGAAUAUUAGGCGCCUUUUAUAGUAUUGUUCACUUCGGGCUUGCACU
Limulus polyphemus (Atlantic horseshoe crab) is the source of this 526-nucleotide long non-coding RNA. RefSeq lists it as uncharacterized. The record is from RefSeq and is a predicted model, not a curated record. Lineage: Eukaryota; Metazoa; Arthropoda; Merostomata; Xiphosura; Limulidae. The transcript is spliced from 4 exons.